CGAACGAACUCUGGUAUUGAUUGGUGCUUGCAUCAUGAUUUACAUUUGAGUGAGUGGCGAACUGGUGAGUAACACGUGGGAAACCUGCCCAGAAGCGGGGGAUAACACCUGGAAACAGAUGCUAAUACCGCAUAACAACUUGGACCGCAUGGUCCGAGUUUGAAAGAUGGCUUCGGCUAUCACUUUUGGAUGGUCCCGCGGCGUAUUAGCUAGAUGGUGGGGUAACGGCUCACCAUGGCAAUGAUACGUAGCCGACCUGAGAGGGUAAUCGGCCACAUUGGGACUGAGACACGGCCCAAACUCCUACGGGAGGCAGCAGUAGGGAAUCUUCCACAAUGGACGAAAGUCUGAUGGAGCAACGCCGCGUGAGUGAAGAAGGGUUUCGGCUCGUAAAACUCUGUUGUUAAAGAAGAACAUAUCUGAGAGUAACUGUUCAGGUAUUGACGGUAUUUAACCAGAAAGCCACGGCUAACUACGUGCCAGCAGCCGCGGUAAUACGUAGGUGGCAAGCGUUGUCCGGAUUUAUUGGGCGUAAAGCGAGCGCAGGCGGUUUUUUAAGUCUGAUGUGAAAGCCUUCGGCUCAACCGAAGAAGUGCAUCGGAAACUGGGAAACUUGAGUGCAGAAGAGGACAGUGGAACUCCAUGUGUAGCGGUGAAAUGCGUAGAUAUAUGGAAGAACACCAGUGGCGAAGGCGGCUGUCUGGUCUGUAACUGACGCUGAGGCUCGAAAGUAUGGGUAGCAAACAGGAUUAGAUACCCUGGUAGUCCAUACCGUAAACGAUGAAUGCUAAGUGUUGGAGGGUUUCCGCCCUUCAGUGCUGCAGCUAACGCAUUAAGCAUUCCGCCUGGGGAGUACGGCCGCAAGGCUGAAACUCAAAGGAAUUGACGGGGGCCCGCACAAGCGGUGGAGCAUGUGGUUUAAUUCGAAGCUACGCGAAGAACCUUACCAGGUCUUGACAUACUAUGCAAAUCUAAGAGAUUAGACGUUCCCUUCGGGGACAUGGAUACAGGUGGUGCAUGGUUGUCGUCAGCUCGUGUCGUGAGAUGUUGGGUUAAGUCCCGCAACGAGCGCAACCCUUAUUAUCAGUUGCCAGCAUUAAGUUGGGCACUCUGGUGAGACUGCCGGUGACAAACCGGAGGAAGGUGGGGAUGACGUCAAAUCAUCAUGCCCCUUAUGACCUGGGCUACACACGUGCUACAAUGGAUGGUACAACGAGUUGCGAACUCGCGAGAGUAAGCUAAUCUCUUAAAGCCAUUCUCAGUUCGGAUUGUAGGCUGCAACUCGCCUACAUGAAGUCGGAAUCGCUAGUAAUCGCGGAUCAGCAUGCCGCGGUGAAUACGUUCCCGGGCCUUGUACACACCGCCCGUCACACCAUGAGAGUUUGUAACACCCAAAGUCGGUGGGGU
RNAcentral lists this ribosomal RNA (1407 nucleotides) under Lactobacillus sp. RNAcentral's name for it is "bacterial SSU rRNA". It matches the Rfam family "Bacterial small subunit ribosomal RNA", at positions 63 to 1436 of the family's 1533-position model. Lineage: Bacteria; Bacillati; Bacillota; Bacilli; Lactobacillales; Lactobacillaceae. The record is from RNAcentral.